CACUUCCGCCCCACGCCCAGGAAACCGGAAGGGGACCUUUUUCGCCGGCGGGAAAGGGGUUUGAGGCGUAGAAAGGGUACAAAGUAGAUGGUACUGUGUGUCUGGUAGAGUAAAGGCCGGCUCUGCUCACCUGGCGGGGUUAGUGACAGCGGCGUCCUAGAUAGCAGACUUGGCGUACGGGGUUCCAGGGGAUGCAGCAGGGAGCGGGAGUGGAGGUGACAGGACCCCUCCAGGAGAGGACCUGUUGCUGGGUAUGUGUGCUCCCUUGAAGCAGAAAGCAAUUGUUCCCAUUUGGAUUAUUCAAAUAUUAUGAAGGCACAGUCCCUGCCUUUGACCUGCUUACAAUCAAAUGGAGGAGACACAGUGGUUACAGGGUAGCCACUUAGGGAUUCUAAAAUAGAUUUAUCAGCAGGCUGCAGGUGCACAUGGCCUUGAGGUAAAGACUGUCCCUUGUUGAAACUUAGUUUUAACAGAUUAUUCAUUGUACUUUAAAAAACUGGAAUCUUAUAAAAAGCAAAUUAUGUUUAGUUUUAUUAUAGACAUCUUUUUCCUAUAGAAGUUGAAAAAGGUGUUUAAACAAAAGGUUUGUUAUGUAAAUGAUUGCAAUUCCUGAAGGUGGUUGUUUCCAUUGUUUAAAUGAUUUGACAUGUUAAAGAUAACUCCAGACAGUUUAUUCUUUCUCUAAUAAAUAUUUAUUAAAACCUAA
Molecule: long non-coding RNA, 706 nt
Organism: Cavia porcellus (domestic guinea pig)
Lineage: Eukaryota; Metazoa; Chordata; Mammalia; Rodentia; Caviidae
Exons: 3
Source: RefSeq, a predicted model, not a curated record